UACGUAGGGGGCGAGCGUUGUCCGGAUUCAUUGGGCGUAAAGCGCGCGUAGGCGGCCCGGUAAGUCGGAUGUGAAAUCUCACGGCUCAACCGUGGAACUGCAUUCGAAACUGUCGGGCUAGAGGCAGGUAGGGGAGAUCGGAAUUCCCGGUGUAGCGGUGAAAUGCGCAGAUAUCGGGAGGAACACCGGUGGCGAAGGCGGAUCUCUGGGCCUGUCCUGACGCUCAGGCGCGAAAGCUAGGGGAGCGAACAGG
This 253-nucleotide ribosomal RNA is filed under the name uncultured bacterium. Its description in RNAcentral is "partial 16S ribosomal RNA". It matches the Rfam family "Bacterial small subunit ribosomal RNA", at positions 524 to 776 of the family's 1533-position model. The record is from RNAcentral.